RNAcentral lists this ribosomal RNA (537 nucleotides) under Fusarium sp. AB27. RNAcentral's name for it is "eukaryotic LSU rRNA". The stretch from base 185 to 338 matches the Rfam family "5.8S ribosomal RNA". Lineage: Eukaryota; Fungi; Ascomycota; Sordariomycetes; Hypocreales; Nectriaceae. The record is from RNAcentral.
AAGGUCUCCGUUGGUGAACCAGCGGAGGGAUCAUUACCGAGUUUACAACUCCCAAACCCCUGUGAACAUACCUUAUGUUGCCUCGGCGGAUCAGCCCGCGCCCCGUAAAAAGGGACGGCCCGCCGCAGGAACCCUAAACUCUGUUUUUAGUGGAACUUCUGAGUAUAAAAAACAAAUAAAUCAAAACUUUCAACAACGGAUCUCUUGGUUCUGGCAUCGAUGAAGAACGCAGCAAAAUGCGAUAAGUAAUGUGAAUUGCAGAAUUCAGUGAAUCAUCGAAUCUUUGAACGCACAUUGCGCCCGCCAGUAUUCUGGCGGGCAUGCCUGUUCGAGCGUCAUUUCAACCCUCAAGCCCAGCUUGGUGUUGGGAGCUGCAGUCCUGCUGCACUCCCCAAAUACAUUGGCGGUCACGUCGAGCUUCCAUAGCGUAGUAAUUUACAUAUCGUUACUGGUAAUCGUCGCGGCCACGCCGUUAAACCCCAACUUCUGAAUGUUGACCUCGGAUCAGGUAGGAAUACCCGCUGAACUUAAGCAUAU